Molecule: ribosomal RNA, 234 nt
Filed under: uncultured bacterium
Lineage: Bacteria
Description: partial 16S ribosomal RNA
Rfam family: Bacterial small subunit ribosomal RNA
Source: RNAcentral
GAUCCUGGCUCAGGAUGAACGCUAGCUACAGGCUUAACACAUGCAAGUCGAGGGGAAACGAUAUUGGAAGCUUGCUUCCGAUAGGCGUCGACCGGCGCACGGGUGAGUAACGCGUAUCCAACCUGCCCACCACUUGGGGAUAACCUUGCGAAAGUAAGACUAAUACCCAAUGAUAUCUCUAGAAGACAUCUGAAAGAGAUUAAAGAUUUAUCGGUGAUGGAUUUGGGGAUGCGU